GAUGAACGCUGGCGGCGUGCCUAAUACAUGCAAGUAGAACGCUGAAGGAAGGAUCUUGCUCUUUCCGGAUGAGUUGCGAACGGGUGAGUAACGCGUAGGUAACCUGCCUGGUAGCGGGGGAUAACUAUUGGAAACGAUAGCUAAUACCGCAUAACAGUAGAUGUUGCAUGAUAUCUACUUAAAAGGUGCAAUUGCACCACUACCAGAUGGACCUUCGUUGUAUUAGCUAGUUGGUGAGGUAACGGCUCACCAAGGCGACGAUACAUAGCCGACCUGAGAGGGUGAGCGGCCACACUGGGGCGGAGACACGGCCCAGACUCAUACGGGAGGCAGCAGGAGGGAAUCUUCGGCAAUGGACGGAAGUCUGACCGAGCAACGCCGCGUGAGGGAAGAAGGUUUUCGGAUCGUAAAGCUCUGUUGUAAGAGAAGAACGAGUGUGAGAGUGGAAAGUUCACGCUGUGACGGUAUCUUACCAGAAAGGGACGGCUAACUACGUG
RNAcentral lists this ribosomal RNA (497 nucleotides) under uncultured bacterium. RNAcentral's name for it is "partial 16S ribosomal RNA". It matches the Rfam family "Bacterial small subunit ribosomal RNA", at positions 28 to 507 of the family's 1533-position model. The record is from RNAcentral.